GUUUUCUUAAGCUGUAUGGAGGGGAGCGCUGCGAAAUCCUGUUUGAGAAUCUUCUUGGAUGGCUCUCACCCGGUGGAGGGCUGGGUGGAGUUGCUGACUGAACCAGACUCUCAGAAGACAGAAAGCAAAAAUGAGAAAGUUUUAAAGACUUCUGUCAAGGCUGAUGUGCCUGUUUGAAGGUAACAAGGCGCCGUCUUUUCAUAUGAUUUGCUUUCAAUUCUGGCUUGCUAUGACAUCAUCAUGACCACGGUCAGAUAUUGUCAUCAGGGACACAUCAUCUCCUGUACCAGAUUCUGUUUCUUUAAGGUGGGAACCAAAACCAGCAUUUGGUAUUCAAGAUGCAACUACACCAUGAGUUUCUGUAACAGCACAGUGUUUUCUGAUUUGUUCUCUGGCUGUUGUCCAACAACCCCCAGUUUUGCAUUUCUGACCAAUACCAUUACUGUUGUCCACGCUGACUUGCAGCUCCAUGACCUCCUUUUAACUCCACUGACGUGGCUCUGCACACGUCUGCGCUAAGUGGAACAAGGAACUGACACAGAUAAAGGACAACACCACAACCACCUGUAUUAAUGUCCUGUUUUCCAAAUUAUUCCUCUGGCGUGGUUUAUGACAGGUACCUGCAGGUGCUCUAAGAGUUAAUGAGUAUUGGAAAAUACUCGAAGGAGCUACAGGCUUACCAAAACCACACUGUUAAUUUUGUCAAGAAUGAUAGAUACAUCGUAUGUUGAAUAAUUGUGUUAGCAAAUCAAAAAGACUUCUACACAUCCUUAGGAAAUAUGUAUAUUUUUACUUUGGACUAUGACAAAUACACUUUGUACUGCAUUUGUAGCUAUGAGGCAUGUGAAGUUUCAUAC
Gallus gallus (chicken) is the source of this 857-nucleotide long non-coding RNA. The record is from Ensembl. NCBI's taxonomy places the organism in Eukaryota, Metazoa, Chordata, Aves, Galliformes, Phasianidae.